CCGGUUCCGGUUCACACUCGGCAAUCCACCGGGUGACCCGGCGACC
This 46-nucleotide non-coding RNA is filed under the name unclassified sequences. Its description in RNAcentral is "L31-Actinobacteria ribosomal protein leader". It matches the Rfam family "L31-Actinobacteria ribosomal protein leader". The record is from RNAcentral.